RNAcentral lists this ribosomal RNA (468 nucleotides) under uncultured bacterium. RNAcentral's name for it is "partial 16S ribosomal RNA". It matches the Rfam family "Bacterial small subunit ribosomal RNA", at positions 28 to 507 of the family's 1533-position model. The record is from RNAcentral.
GACGAACGCUGGCGGCGUGCUUAACACAUGCAAGUCGAACGGAAAGGCCCUGCUUUUGUGGGGUGCUCGAGUGGCGAACGGGUGAGUAACACGUGAGUAACCUGCCCUUGACUUUGGGAUAACUUCAGGAAACUGGGGCUAAUACCGGAUAGGAGCUCCUGCUGCAUGGUGGGGGUUGGAAAGUUUCGGCGGUUGGGGCUGGACUCGCGGCUUAUCAGCUUGUUGGUGGGGUAGUGGCUUACCAAGGCUUUGACGGGUAGCCGGCCUGAGAGGGUGACCGGGCACAAUGGGACUGAGAUACGGACCAGACUCGUACGGGAGGCAGCAGGGGGGAAUAUUGCACAAUGGGCGGAAGCCUGAGGCAGAAACGCCGCGUGCGGGAUGACGGCCUUCGGGUUGUAAACCGAUUUCGCAUGUGACGAAGCGUGAGUGACGGUAAUGGGUAAAGAAGCAACGGCUAACUACGUG